This is a non-coding RNA of Zootermopsis nevadensis, 66 nucleotides long. The record is from the annotation of a RefSeq genome assembly. Lineage: Eukaryota; Metazoa; Arthropoda; Insecta; Blattodea; Termopsidae.
ACUAUUUUGGCAGAGAAGUGCAGUGGAUUUAGAAUCUUCUAAUAUAAAUUUAUUUUAUAUGUAGUA